UUAUUUUUGCAUUUAAACUGUUGACUGCGUUAAUUUAAUAUGUUUCUACCUGAAUGUCUGUUAUUAUUUCCAUAAAAGAGUAAUAAAAUCCGAUAUAUUUGCACAGUACCUACCGGGCUGUCCUUAUUUCGGGGCCCUGCUGUCCUCUUCGGGCUCUCCUUGCCCCUCUGGAGAGGGCUGCAGGCACUCGGAGGCUGCCGGCAGCCCGUGCAGAAGCAGCAGCGCUGUCCCCAGGGAUGCUGCUCGGAGAGGUUUCCCGCUCCGUGCCGCCAGGUACGCGCUGAUGAGACAGGACAUGAGCCAGGCUGAUUUUAGACAACUUCAUUUGCCUGUCAGAGAUCUUUGUAUUAAAGUAGCUUGAUGUUUAAGGACUGUUUGGAAGUGCUUGUGCCCGAAAACGUUAGCGCAGCCGGGCAGGUGGAGUUUGUUCAGAGCUGCACGUGUGCUUUCUGCUCUCUUUCUCCUUUCCUAUCUUUGCCAUGUGGUUUCCUCAUGCUGCGGGGUUUUUCCAGCGUUUUUCUGCGCUCCGUGAGUUGCUGUUGUCCCUUCCAGCCCCCGAGCCGUGUGGUGCUGCAGCCGGAGCAAGCACAGAUUGCUGCACGUGCAAAUGAGCCAGUCCUGAGGAGCACCCAGCGGGGAGGGGAUCACUUCUGCCCCUUUUCCUGCCGAACUCCAGAAGCUGCCGCUGAUUUCAGCCAGACACCGGCGGGCGAGCGCGAAGGCAGAGGGACGGGAGGAGGCGCGUGGUGCCACACAUCAGCAGAGGCAGCUGCCGGAGGGUAAAGCCUGGCAGUAGCAGAACUGACCAGACCCGUUAACGUGUGGAUGGAAACCAACCUAUGGUCAGCCAGUCGUCUCCCUGCGGUCCCUGGCUGUGGGGGAGGAAAGGACACCUGGCUGGAGGUGAGCAGCUGGCACCUUUUUAUUUAUUACAAGUCCAAAGGCUGACUGGGACGCAUGCAUGCCUUGUGUUGACCUCCAUCGGUGUGCUGUCAGGAUCCUGUGACCUGGGCGUUUUAUUGCCUGAAAAACACCGGUAAUCGUGUCUCACCCAUUGUGUG
RNAcentral lists this long non-coding RNA (1061 nucleotides) under Cairina moschata (Muscovy duck). RNAcentral describes it as "domestica (muscovy Duck (domestic type)) lncRNA (ENSCMMG00000000252.1)". Lineage: Eukaryota; Metazoa; Chordata; Aves; Anseriformes; Anatidae. The record is from RNAcentral.